Molecule: ribosomal RNA, 930 nt
Filed under: uncultured bacterium
Lineage: Bacteria
Description: bacterial SSU rRNA
Rfam family: Bacterial small subunit ribosomal RNA
Source: RNAcentral
ACGCUGGCGGCGUGCCUAACACAUGCAAGUCGAACGAGAUGCUUAUCGGAAAGCUUCGGCCGGAAGAUAAGUUAUCUAGUGGCGGACGGGUGAGUAACACGUGGGUAACCUGCCUUAUGGAGGGGGAUAACAGAGAGAAAUCACUGCUAAUACCGCAUAAGCACACAGUACCGCAUGGUACAGGGUGAAAAGAUUUAUCGCCAUAAGAUGGACCCGCGUCUGAUUAGCCGGUUGGCAGGGUAAAAGCCUACCAAAGCAACGAUCAGUAGCCGAUCUGAGAGGAUGACCGGCCACAUUGGGACUGAGACACGGCCCAAACUCCUACGGGAGGCAGCAGUGGGGAAUAUUGCACAAUGGGGGAAACCCUGAUGCAGCGACGCCGCGUGAGUGAAGAAGUAUUUCGGUAUGUAAAGCUCUAUCAGCAGGGAAGAUAAUGACAGUACCUGACUAAGAAGCCCCGGCUAACUACGUGCCAGCAGCCGCGGUAAUACGUAGGGGGCAAGCGUUAUCCGGAUUUACUGGGUGUAAAGGGAGCGUAGACGGAAUGGCAAGUCUGAAGUGAAAUACCCGGGCUCAACCUGGGAACUGCUUUGGAAACUGUUGUUCUAGAGUGUUGGAGAGGUAAGUGGAAUUCCUGGUGUAGCGGUGAAAUGCGUAGAUAUCAGGAAGAACACCGGAGGCGAAGGCGGCUUACUGGACAAUAACUGACGUUGAGGCUCGAAAGCGUGGGGAUCAAACAGGAUUAGAUACCCUGGUAGUCCACGCUGUAAACGAUGAAUACUAGGUGUCGGGGUGCAAAGUAUCUCGGUGCCGUCGCUAACGCAAUAAGUAUUCCACCUGGGGAGUACGUUCGCAAGAAUGAAACUCAAAGGAAUUGACGGGGACCCGCACAAGCGGUGGAGCAUGUGGUUUAAUUCGAAGCAACGCGAA